Cercophora sp. LCS_1 is the source of this 82-nucleotide non-coding RNA. NCBI's taxonomy places the organism in Eukaryota, Fungi, Ascomycota, Sordariomycetes, Sordariales, Lasiosphaeriaceae. The record is from the annotation of a GenBank genome assembly.
GCCCGACUAGCUCAGUGGUUUAGAGCGUCGCACUCGUAUCUGCGAAAUGCGAAGGCCCACGGUUCAACUCCGUGGUUGGGCA